GGUGUAUAUGAAUUGAUAACAUCAAAUAAUGUCAUAUUGAAAACUAAAUAUAAUCUCUCAAAUUUAAAAGAAUUUAUUGUACGAAACAAUGAAAAUGAUAUUGGUUCCUAAAAUGGUCUUGAUGAUGAAAAUUACCCACACGAUACGGAGUUUGUCGAUCCAAAGUCACCUAUAGAUAUUGGUUCCCAAAAUAGUCUUGAUGAAAAUAACCCAAACAAUGUGGAGUUUGUCGAUCCAAAGUCCCCUAUAGAUAGAAUUGGAUGAUGAUAUUUUGAUAAUAAAUAAAUUAGAAAGUAUCCCUAGAUAUUUUUUUCCUACAACAAAGGCAUGGAAAAAAUAUCAUGCUAAAAUAUAUGGUCUAAAGCCUCCCAAACAUUGUCGGGGUAUAGAAUAUGGGAAACAACUUGGUGAACCCACCAUCCUGGUGACAAUUGAAAGUGAUGGGAAUUGUUUUUAUAGGACGAUUAGUGUAGAGAUCACUCGGGUUCAAAAUUCCCAUACUAUUCUCAGGCAAUGGUUAGCACAAUUUAUGCUAACCUUUGAGAUGGAAAAGGUAAUCGAGAAUUAUAUUUGCGAUACGAACAAAAAAAUAGGCGUAAAAGCUUAUGUGUUAAAUAAUGUUAUGACAGGACGGACAUGGGCUUCUGACACAGGUCAUGGCCACAAUGUUAAAUACACCCAUUUUUACAUAUAUAAAAUAUAAUAAUAAUUUUAUA
Molecule: long non-coding RNA, 716 nt
Organism: Gordionus sp. m RMFG-2023
Lineage: Eukaryota; Metazoa; Nematomorpha; Gordioida; Chordodea; Parachordodidae
Exons: 5
Source: RefSeq, a predicted model, not a curated record